AGAGUUUGAUCCUGGCUCAGAACGAACGCUGGCGGCAGGCCUAACACAUGCAAGUCGAGCGCCCAGCAAUGGGAGCGGCGGACGGGUGAGUAACACGUGGGAAUUUUCCUCAAGGUACGGAACAACUCAGGGAAACUUGGGCUAAUACCGUAUGAUGCAGAGAUGCCAAAGAUUUAUCGCCUUGGGAUAAGCCCGCGUCAGAUUAGGUAGUUGGUGGGGUAAUGGCCUACCAAGCCUGUGAUCUGUAGCUGGUCUGAGAGGACGAUCAGCCACAUUGGGACUGAGACACGGCCCAAACUCCUACGGGAGGCAGCAGUGGGGAAUCUUGCGCAAUGGGCGAAAGCCUGACGCAGCCAUGCCGCGUGAAUGAUGAAGGUCUUAGGAUUGUAAAGUUCUUUCGCCCGUGACGAUGAUGACGGUAACGGGAGAAGAAGCCCCGGCUAACUUCGUGCCAGCAGCCGCGGUAAUACGAAGGGGGCUAGCGUUGUUCGGAAUUACUGGGCGUAAAGCGCGCGUAGGCGGUUAUGCAAGCCGGAGGUGAAAUGCCCGAGCUCAACUUGGGAAUUGCCUUUGGGACUGUGAGGCUUCGAGGACGGAAGAGGUGAGUGGAAUUCCCAGUGUAGAGGUGAAAUUCGUAGAUAUUGGGAAGAACACCGGUGGCGAAGGCGGCUCACUGGUCCGUUUCUGACGCUAAAGCGCGAAAGCGUGGGGAUCAAACAGGAUUAGAUACCCUGGUAGUCCACGCUGUAAACGAUGAGUGCUAGGCGUCGGCAGGCUUGCCUGUCGGUGCCGCAGCUAAC
Molecule: ribosomal RNA, 800 nt
Filed under: uncultured bacterium
Lineage: Bacteria
Description: bacterial SSU rRNA
Rfam family: Bacterial small subunit ribosomal RNA
Source: RNAcentral